This 9123-nucleotide unclassified non-coding RNA is filed under the name Ooceraea biroi (clonal raider ant). RNAcentral describes it as "afadin, transcript variant X8". The record is from RNAcentral. Lineage: Eukaryota; Metazoa; Arthropoda; Insecta; Hymenoptera; Formicidae.
CCGACAGCGGGACAGCACGAACGAUGCUCCUGGAAGCUGUUUGGAGAUUGAUCAUGCAGAGUGUUAACAUAAUGGCGACGGAACUGGCAAACAAGAAGGCAGAGCGGGAGGCUCUCCGAGGGGUCAUACAACAAUGGAAUGCCAAUCGUUUGGACCUGUUCGAACUUUCGGAGCCAAACGAGGACUUGGAGUUCCAUGGCGUAAUGCGGUUCUACUUUCAAGAUAGCGGCCAGAAAGUCGCUACCAAAUGCAUCAGAGUUGCCUCGGAUGCGACCAGUCAGGCGGUGAUAGAAACGCUCAUCGAAAAAUUUCGUCCCGACAUGAGAAUGUUGUCCAUCCCAGAGUACGCUCUUUACGAAAUUCACGAGAAUGGUGAAGAGCGUAAGCUUGGUUUGGAGGAGAAGCCACUGUUGGUACAAUUAAAUUGGCACAUCGAUGAUCGUGAGGGACGCUUCCUGCUUAGGCGAAUCGAUGACAAGACGAAUGCGCAGGGCGUCGGUUUUUCUUCGGCCGAGGGUACCAGCUUUCGGAGGAAGCUGAGCAAACGAGAGAAGAAGCAGAUCAAGAAGCAGGAGAAGCUCAGUCGGCUGAAGAGCUUGGAGCAGGACGAGAACGCUGCGCCUGACGAUCAGAACGGCGUCGCCGAGAAGCUCUACACGGAACUGCCCGAGACCAGUUUCACGAGGAGCAUCUCGAAUCCGGAAGCAGUGAUGAGGCGUCGCCGCCAACAGAAGCUUGAGAUAAGGCUCCAGCAAUUCCGCAGCAAAAACGGCGGCCCCGACACGGGCGGCACAUUGAAAAUUUAUGGCGAGGCAUUGUGCAAGGACGUGCCAUACAAGACGCUGCUACUGAGCGUGCGUGAUUCCGCAGCUCAGGUUGUGCGAGAGAUGCUUUCUAAGUACGGCCUAGACAAGGUGGACCCACAAUUAUAUUGCCUUGUGCAGGUUAAUAGUGAGAACAUAAGUGGAAAUGCACACCAGGAGUAUAUAUUAGACGACGACGAGUGUCCUUUGGCAAUAUUAAUGAAUCAUCCUUCCACGCGAGGUUCUAUUAUGUUUCACGUGAGAAGGAGACCCGCGGAUUACAUGCCGCGGAAACGUAAAAAGAAACCUUCUGGGAAAUGGAACGAGUUAGAUCACAGGUACGAGGACGAGAGACUGCCGUUUCUGCUGGAGCUUAAUCCAGACGGCAGUGAUAUUCCAAACGGCGCCGGAGUGCGACACCGAUUACAGCCGAAUGUCACGGAAGUGGGUUCGGAGAGACCGAUCGGACCGCAAGCGGUGCAGGCACAAACGCUGACUCUGCCAGGACCCACGGUGAUGCCCAGGCAUUGCGUCAUUGCUUUUACCGAGAACAUUGUUACCCUCACACCGUGCUCCAGAGAUGCGCACACGUACGUGAACAACCAGAGGAUACAUCAAACCACCAUACUGCAGAAUGGAGCUAUCAUCAAGUUCGGCAGAAUGCACACUUUUCGAUUUAUUGAUCCCGCGCCUGAGGAUCGGAUUAGACAGAGACACGAUUCGAACAAGCAGAUCGACUAUGCUUAUGACCGACGUUCACCGGAUGCGACUAGCCAAGAUGUCAGCUCGGAGAAGUUCCGUCCAGGAUCCGGAACCCCGAAUGGCGGCGGUCAGACCCCGAGUCAGGCUCAGGAGCGCGCGACUCCGUCGAGUCCCUCAAAGUCCGCCAUCAUCGCUGCUCGUAGUCCCCGUAGUCCCACACACCCACCGGAACCCACGCACAAUUACGAGACCACGUUCGAUCUGGACGGCAACGUGGAGACCGCCAGUCUAAGUAGUAGCAGAGACGGCAAUAGGCUUUCGCAAUACGAUCGGCAACCUCGAGGCACGGAUCCGAUCCUUCCGGCCGUACUGGAGUUCCUCGAGGAAACGGAGGAGACGUUCUUCCAUGCUGUUAUCACCGACGUGGAGCCCUCGGCACCGCAGUUCAAACUGGCGCCAACUUACACUCUGUACCUGAGCGCAAGGUACCGCGCUAGCACUCAUUACAGACCAGAACUGCAGCCUACGGAGAGAGCGCACAGGCUUACCGCUAUGUUGGCGAACGUCGCCACGAUGAUUCAACGCGUUAUCCAGGAACGUUACAUGGACGCCUCGUCGUUGGCAUUCUGGCUGGCGAAUAGUUCGGAGCUGCUGCAUAUGCUAAAAAGCGAUCGACAUGUGGGCGCAUUCUCCACACGGGCGCAAGAUAUCCUGAAGGAAGCGGUGCACGCGGCAUUCGGUUCGCUGGUGCGCUGCGUCACCCUGGAAUUAACGCCAGCCAUGACGCAGUUCAUGGCAGAUGCGGACGAACCGGCGAAGGAGGCCGGGGUCCUGCAAAUCUUCUCCAACACGAUGGCGCUCCUGCGACGGUGCCGGGUGAAUGCCGCGCUUACGAUACAACUGUUCAGCCAUCUGUUCCACGCGAUCAAUGCCACUGCUUUCAAUACUCUGGUUUCCAACGGGAACUUGUGCGUUCGAUGGUUCGGACGCAGGCUGAAGGCGAGAUUGAACGCCCUGGAAACCUGGGCCGAGAGACAAGGCCUAGAACUCGCCAGUCAAUGCCACUUGGCGACAAUUAUGCAGGCGACUCACUUGUUGCAAGCUCCUAAGUACAAUGCCGAGGAGCUAGCGACUCUCAGUUCGACCUGCUUCAAGCUGAAUUCCCUGCAGGUGAGGGCCUUGCUACAGAAGUAUCAACCGGCCGCGGACGAGCCCAGGCUGCCCGCUGAAUUGAUCGAGAAUGUUGUGAGGGUAGCAGAGAGUGUGGCAGACACGCUCGCACGUGCAGACGGCCGCGAAAUAAGACUGGAGGAAGAACCUAUCCUAGGAUUGUCCUUAUUACUUCCCGAAGAUGGCUACAGCUGUGAGAUAGUAAGAGGUGUCCCACCAGGACUAGCAGAAUUUCUGGCGCCCUUACAACGAGACGGUUUAUGUCGGAUGGCGGCCCAACCCACCAGCAGUGGCUAUUGGACUAUUUACAUGAUAGAUCACAACAAUUUGCGUAGUCCCAGCGCGAUGAGUAAUCGAUCGGGCGGUUAUAUCAGCCACAUUAAUCAAAAUCAGGCUCAACCAGAGAUACACGUCAUUAAAUUGCACAAGAGUACCAAUGGCAUGGGCUUAAGUAUCGUUGCGGCAAAAGGUGCAGGACAGGACCGAUUAGGCAUCUACAUCAAAAGCGUUGUUGCUGGUGGUGCCGCUGAUGCUGAUGGUAGAUUGACAGCGGGCGAUCAGCUGCUCAAAGUAGAUGGACAAAGCUUGGUCGGAAUUACGCAAGAAAAAGCUGCUGAGUAUCUUGUACGCACUGGCCCGAUCGUGACAUUGGAAGUUGCAAAACAGGGCGCCAUUUAUCAUGGACUUGCAACACUGUUAUCUCAACCUUCUCCAAUAAUGACGAGAGCGUGUAAGACUCGGCCGAGGUCCGAGCACUUAGAGCAGCCGAUAGAAGCAGCGGAGACGGCCGGUGGUGGUCAGCCAGCCGCGUCACACUCAGUGGGCGACUUAUUGUCCUUUCCGAAGCAGGCGGCGUGUCAGGAUUUAACUCAACCAGGUGCGAUUCCAUCUCAGCGCAUAGUUGAGACAUCUUUUUACCGGAAUUUUCCACGUGUCGACUAUAACGAGUACCGCUAUCCCAUGCGACAAGAUGCAUUCACCGUUUUCCGUCCGAGGGGUGCGUACGCCAGUGCGUACCCUGUCGAGAGACAGUACGGCGCCUUCGACGACAGGGAGUACGUCUACCGUCCUUCCACCCCUACCGUCUCUCCCAUGCGUAUCCCGCGACCUCACAUGCCCUGUCCCUUGAUUUCCAUCACGAGCGACAACGAGAUUUCGUCCGUCAUUUAUCAAGACGAGAGCGACGAGAGUGACGAUAAGAUCGUCGAGGAGGACGAGGAUAAUGCGGAACAAGGUGGAAUCAAUAAUUCGAGUUACUCAACUUUGAGUCCAUUUGAGAGGAUCUCUCCGCCGCGGGAAUACGCGGAGCCCGCGCAAGAUUACAAGUUGCUGGCGCCGCCGCUGACUUUCGAUAGGAAUUUUUACGACGCUAUACCUUAUAUCGAUCAGAACGACGAUGCCAACCUUGCGGAAGCCUCUGAAAGCGUUCAGGCAAAAUCGAGAAACAGGUAUGAACGCUACAAGGAGGCUGCUUGCAACAGCAAUUCCAAUCUUAGAGAUUCUCAAAAGCGCAUGGACGUAGGUCGCAGUGAGCAGACUCUCAAUAUUGCAGACUCUGAUUUACGUGUGCAACCGGGCAACUUCAGUUCUUCGGCAAUCGAUACUUACUCGUUGUCCGUGAAUGAAUCUGCUUCGUCUGUCAGGCAUGCUACAAAUGGGUCAAGUACAAAAUCUAGAAUGGAUGACUUUCUGCAUCUUCGUGACGCGAGUAAUAGCACGAGACACGCGUUAAGUGUUGAGAACGAGCAAUACGAGAACAAAUCGGACGACGUUACCAAUUCGGAAGAUUGUGCAGAUGAGUCCAGUUCCACGAUUAACGACGAAUGCGCGUCGAUUAGGGUUGACGGGAACGUAGAAGAGGAAGGAAUCUCGACUCCCAAGAUGUAUACUAUAAUGCCGGAGUUGCAUCUUGAUCUGACUGGGCUAAACAGCGACGUGUCCAGCGAUGAAUCCAAGACGGAGAAAUGCUGGAAGUCACCUGAAGAAGUACGUUUAGGAGGUGGUCGAGUUGCAGCGUUGGCGAAACACUUCUCAAAACUUGGCGAUGCCGGUUUGAUCAGGUUCAAGCCCACCAAAUUGACCGAUUCCCGCCAGUUUGUGUCGGAACCGGAGAUCGCAACGCCGGAGAAGAGCGACGAGCGUUUGUACGGACCUUGCCGUGCGCAAAAGGAGUAUAAAUCGGACUCGGACCUGACGAGAGACGAAAACUCUCAAGUCGAUUCGGAUGGAAGACGCAAAGUCAUUCUGUUCGAUGUCGAAACAGGAGAGCUUGCGAUCCAGGAAUGUAGGUUUCAUCGUUGCGGCGCUAAAUGGGUAACUGCUGCUAGAAUUCCUUCAUUGAAUGAUUUCUUUACUACGAAGAACACAACACUUGCAGAAGUUGAAGAUUGUAACGACAUGGCAACUGAUAAUAGUAAAUCUCAGAAUUGUAUUAAAGCUGAAAGUCAUGAAAACGAACCAACUAACAAUAAACUUUCCGUGGAACAACAGCAAGUGAUCGUUGAACAACUUGAGCAGUUCUCAAAUCUGGAUAAUACUGACGCACCUUUGUUUAUACCAGAUCAAAAGGUGGAGCAAACUUUUUCGAAAAAUGAGAACGAAGUGUCGGCUUCUGUUAAUUCUGUUAAUUUUGUUAAAGAUGAUAGCUUUCAAAACAGGAAGCAGAAAGUUACCUCUUCGUCGUCCUCUUCCGUUCGUUUGCCUUCUCGCUCUUCCAUUGUGUUAGCACUUUCGAAGAAUGUCGCAAAAAGUGCUCCUUCGCUCUCGGAAAACUCUAAGGUUCAGUCUUGUGGAAAACGUGCGAAAUCUUGCCUCUUCAUAGACCUCUCUCACUCUUCCGCUAAGAAUUGCUCCAGCAACGGUUCCUCGGAACAUUCAUUGAUGUUUCCGCCGCGCGCGAGCACGUAUUCACGAUUGAAGGAUGACAAGUUGAAUAUUCUGCGCGUGCGAAUCGCUAGACCUUGUAGCAGCGAGGACAAUCUGAUCAGUGCUGCAAUUUGUCAACAGAAAAUCGAGGAAGCUAUGGAUCGUCGCGAUGAUUUCGUUAAAUUAACGCGCAGCUAUGACAGUAUCUUAAACAACAAAUUUCUAUUGGAUUCUACCGAUCAAACACGAUCGUCCGAAAGCCUCUACAAAAGCGUUGAUUUACCUGACGAGUCUUGUGACAGAUCAGGCUUGGCUGCCAAGCAAGAGGCACAUUGGUACCGUCAUCGUUCUCUGGAAGAGCUGAAGCCGAAGCGGGCAUCGAAGAAACAAGGCAGUUUGAUAAACUUCACGUCAGUUCAACCUGCUGCAGUUCAGACAAGAUUGAGUAAAUCAUUUGAUGAUAAAUUAAACUCCGAAGACGGAGAUGAAAUGCGAUGGAAUUGUCAUGGAUCGCUCGAGGAACUGAAAUCAAGUAGGAGAGACAGUCGGACGGAUUUGACCGAUUCAGGCCGAGUUGCUAAAGCACAAAAAUUCGACUGGACGCCAAAGAAAAGAUUCCGCACGAAGCGAGGGAGCCACGAUCGCUUGAUAGGUAGUGCUCUUGAAUUGUCGCGCGUAAACAGAAUGAAAGAUGAGGAACGACAAGAGUGGAGAGUCGAGCGAAAAUCUCGGAGCGAGUUGGAUAUUCCGAGGCACAAGUCCGACUCGGAGAGGGACGGUUGGAGCUUCCGCGAGAUCAGUUCGCUGAAAGAUGAUGACCAAUCCACCUUGCGUCCUCGUCGCAUGAGCGAGCGGGAUCUACCAUCGCGGCUUGGACACGAUGCCACUCCUCAGCAAAUCCACAGCAGCAAGUCUGUUCCAGCAUUGCAUAACAUAGGUACCGAGGCCAAACAGCAACAUGAGAUAUUCAAUCCAGGAUACAGCAGGGCUUCCUCCAGCAAUAGCGUCACGCCGCCCGUCCAGCCACCUCCUAUGGCGGCAAUCAGUAGUGCGACUGCUUUACGUUCUAGAUCGAGUCACAACUUACAUGAUCCCAUGAGAAUCGGUACUUUACCACCCUCCGGCUUGGUCAGCAGGCAGCAAUCGUCGCCCAAUUUGAAUCCGAACGCGACGCACACGAAUGUACCGUCCAGCGUGCAGAAUACAGAGGCGGAGAGAUUUUACCAGAAUCUGAGCAUUUAUCGCAAUCAGGACCCGGCAGUGAAGCAACAAAUUAGUCCACAACAGUCAGACGACAGAAACUCACAGCACAUCCAGAAGAGUUCCCUGAGGGGUUCGCAAAACUCACUGAAUCGUCCAUCGACCUUAGAAAUCGGCGGCCACAUGCGAGAUCGCCCAACGUCCGCGUACAUCAGCCAGGGUCAGCCACAGAGUUACUCGGCGGUCAGCAGUCAGAUGCAACAGCAGAGCGGUGGCCUGCCGCCGCGUUCCCAGUCGUCGCGUGACAUAAUUCGCCAAGAGGCGAAGAUGCAAGAGAUGCAAGAGGAGGUCCGUCGGCGCGAACUGCGCGGCGGUGCGCCGAUACUCAAUCAGCACAGACCGCCGAUGUAUAACAUUGGCGCUCGCGUGGCGGCACCUCCUCCUCAGCAAAUGUCAGGCGUGUUGAACGUACGCUCGUCGAGACCCGGAGGCUCCAUGUCGAACUUGGGCAUAACUUCCAACUAUGCCGUGAGACAAAAUGUGCCCGGCUACAAUUAUCCAGAUACUCAGUAUGCCCACUACAACAGUGCGCAGUACGGCCAGUACGGUCAGUACAAUCAGUACCCCAAGUAUCCGGCUGCUAGUGGCCAAUACGGACCAAUGAUGCUUAAGCCGAAAAGCGAAGCAAUGACUCGCGGUCAUCAGUCGAUGCCCGGUGAGAAUCUGCUCGGCAAAGACGCGAGUAACCAGGAGGCGAAGCCCUAUGCUGAGCAGAAUCGACAUUUUGCUGGCUCGCAGAAUAGUUCGCAUUAUCCGAACGGCAAUCUAGAACAGCGCGUCGAUCAGUACACUAACGACAUCAUCAACCGGGCUCAGAAUGGAGACGGUCAUUCUAUGACAACGUCGGAGGCGCCGCCGACGAGACCGGCUUUGCCGUCCGAAGACACCUUUAACGAAAGCCCGCCACCACCACCGCCAAACACCUCGACGCAUCCUCUGUAUAACAAACCAGCCGACACAAGGUAUACCGCGAGCAUGCAAGAUCCACCACGAGGUAGUUACUACCCUGCGGGAGGAAUCAGUGCCAUGCAGCAACCGCGUCAGUAUCAAUACAGUGCGACGAACCCUUGGCAGCGAGAGGAAAGGGAAAAGGAACAGGCUCGUAGGAGAGAAGCCGCCCGACAAUGGCGAGAUCAGCAGAUCGCUGAAUUGAGCGUGCUGACGCACCGAACGCAACAACAAGAGGAGCAGUUGCGAGCACUUCAAUUGGAAAGGGACUUCCAGAAGCGAGCGGAAGAGGCUGCCAAUCAGGAUGACGAUGAGGAAAGCAACGAUCUAGACAAUGAGAGCGCACAGCGCGUUCAAGGCUUGUUGAGGAUGGCAGCCAGUCAAGAGAGGGCUGUCCAAGGGAGCCAGCAACCACCGAUUUUAUCGAGAACGAACACGGGCAACCAAUCUAUGAGGGGUGGUUUACCUCUGCAGCCAAUUAACAGCCCACCGGUCAGUCAUGCUCAUGUUCCGCCUACGGUAUCUCUGAAUGUCGGGAUGAGUGGUCAGGAAAACAGUAGCUUGCACGUACAACCGAGUCCGCAGCAACAGCAACAGCAGCAAACGGCAUUGGCUCAAAUCGAGGAGCAGCAAUUGCACGUGACGCCCAAUUACGGCGCGUCUCUCAGCCACUUUGGCUCCGGUCAGAAGCCUUACUCCGUCGGCGCGCCGUCCAUAGAGGAUAGAGAAUUGCAACGAAGGAUGGACGAGGCAAAGCGCAAGCAGAUCGAAUUCGAGGAAAACCAGAAGAAGCAGGAAGAACAGAUGCACGCGCAGCAGCAAACGUAUCAGCAGAAUCAACACUCGAGGAAUCAGCAGCUGCAUCCUGAUAUGCUGCGCUUGGACAAUUUGAUUAUCAACGGGCCUAGUGUGCCUAUGUCCUCGCAAAAUAACAUAAACGAUGCACCUCCGCCACCGGAACGCGGUUCCAGUUAUGCCGUUAUGUCUCAGCAAAGUGCUCUCAGGUCAAAUGGCUCGACCGCAUCCAAUCUACCUCCCAGUUUUCAGCAGCCGGCAUCCAUGAAAAGAGUCUCUUUCCACGAUUCGAAUGCGAAUAGUGAGCCUUUGCUGCGAAAUGUACAGUCUGGAACAUCGAACCCAUCGUCGAUGUCGAUGGACACCAUCAGAGAGGAUCCCAAUAUAAACAAAAUUUUAUCAACGACGCGGAGACUCUAUUAGCAUCUCCGAAGACGCCGGAAGGAUCCGGGACUUCAUUUACUGGCGCCACCCCUGGAGUGAUCGGUGCUCAAGAAGUAUAUAAAGAUCCGAGACAAAAGCGACUGGCGGAAAAGCAAAAACAGCAGCAGAACUCACAGAUCGGCGCAGUGCCAGAAAA